RNAcentral lists this ribosomal RNA (440 nucleotides) under uncultured bacterium. RNAcentral's name for it is "partial 16S ribosomal RNA". It matches the Rfam family "Bacterial small subunit ribosomal RNA", at positions 338 to 795 of the family's 1533-position model. The record is from RNAcentral.
CCUACGGGUGGCAGCAGUGGGGGAUAUUGCACAAUGGGGGAAACCCUGAUGUAGCGACGCCGCGUGGGUGAAGAAGCGCCUCGGCGCGUAAAGCCCUGUCAGCAGGGAAGAAAAUGACGGUACCUGAAGAAGAAGCCCCGGCUAACUACGUGCCAGCAGCCGCGGUAAUACGUAGGGGGCAAGCGUUAUCCGGAUUUACUGGGUGUAAAGGGGGCGCAGACGGCGAUGCAAGCCAGGAGUGAACGCCCGGGGCCCAACCCCGGGACUGCUCUUGGAACUGCGUGGCUAGAGUGCAGGGGGGGCAGGCGGAAUUCCUGGGGUAGCGGUGAAAUGCGUAGAUAUCAGGAGGAACACCGGUGGCGAAGGCGGCCUGCUGGACUGCAACUGACAUUGAGGCCCGAAAGCGUGGGGAGCAAACAGGAUUAGAUACCCCUGUAGUC